AAAGUAGGAACAGAAAAGAAAAGAAAGAAAAAAAAACAGCCUUCCCUUUUUGUUUCUUGCUUGCCUGUUCUCACUGGUGCUAUGAUGCUAGUUGUUUUGAACAACUACUAAUUUUUGGGAAU
RNAcentral lists this non-coding RNA (122 nucleotides) under Licmophora paradoxa. The record is from RNAcentral. Lineage: Eukaryota; Bacillariophyta; Fragilariophyceae; Licmophorales; Licmophoraceae.